Molecule: long non-coding RNA, 210 nt
Filed under: Capsicum annuum
Lineage: Eukaryota; Viridiplantae; Streptophyta; Magnoliopsida; Solanales; Solanaceae
Description: long non-coding RNA (CANN_LNC011607)
Source: RNAcentral
CCAAAUCUCUAAAAACUAAAUUAUUUUCCUCAAAAUUCACUCCAAGCUCCAAACCAAGGAAAAAUUUCACAACUUGAAAAUACUCACACAGCCAUCAUCAGUAGCGGCCAAGUGCCAACGAAAAUACGGUGUCAUUCCGACAAACAACAAUACAAGUCAGAAGCUGAUCGAAGUUAAAGAUAAUGAUGUACCCCCUAUCUUCAAAUCCUG